ACCGGGCACUGUAGUGCAUGCCUGUAAUCCCAGUAGCUCAGGAGGCUGAGGCAGGAGGAUCACGAGUUCAAAACCAGCCUCAGCAACAGUGAGGCACUAAGCAACUCAGUGAGACCCUGUCUCUA
RNAcentral lists this small RNA (125 nucleotides) under Marmota monax (woodchuck). The record is from RNAcentral. Lineage: Eukaryota; Metazoa; Chordata; Mammalia; Rodentia; Sciuridae.